AUUGAACGCUGGCGGCAUGCCUUACACAUGCAAGUCGAACGGCAUCGCGGGAAAGCUUGCUUUCCUGGCGGCGAGUGGCGAACGGGUGAGUAACACAUCUGAACGUACUGGCUAGUGGGGGAUAACCCGUCGAAAGACGGGCUAAUACCGCAUACGCUCUUAGGAGGAAAGCAGGGGACCUUUGGGCCUUGCGCUAGCCGAGCGGCCGAUGUCCGAUUAGCUAGUUGGUGGGGUAAAGGCCUACCAAGGCGACGAUCGGUAGCGGGUCUGAGAGGACGAUCCGCCACACUGGGACUGAGACACGGCCCAGACUCCUACGGGAGGCAGCAGUGGGGAAUCUUGGACAAUGGGCGCAACCCUGAUCCAGCAAUGCCGCGUGAGUGAAGAAGGCCUUCGGGUUGUAAAGCCCUUUCGGCAGGGAAGAAAAAGGGGGGGCGAAUAACCCUGCUGGAUGACGGUACCUGCAGAAGAAGCACCGGCUAACUACGUG
RNAcentral lists this ribosomal RNA (490 nucleotides) under uncultured bacterium. RNAcentral describes it as "partial 16S ribosomal RNA". It matches the Rfam family "Bacterial small subunit ribosomal RNA", at positions 29 to 507 of the family's 1533-position model. The record is from RNAcentral.